GACGAACGCUGGCGGCGUGCCUAAUACAUGCAAGUAGAACGCACAGUUUAUACCGUAGCUUGCUACACCAUAGACUGUGGGUUGCGAACGGGUGAGUAACGCGUAGGUAACCUGCCUGGUAGCGGGGGAUAACUAUUGGAAACGAUAGCUAAUACCGCAUAAUAUUAAUUAUUGCAUGAUAAUUAAUUGAAAGGUGCAAUUGCACCACUACCAGAUGGACCUGCGUUGUAUUAGCUAGUAGGUGAGGUAACGGCUCACCUAGGCGACGAUACAUAGCCGACCUGAGAGGGUGAUCGGCCACACUGGGACUGAGACACGGCCCAGACUCCUACGGGAGGCAGCAGUAGGGAAUCUUCGGCAAUGGACGAAAGUCUGACCGAGCAACGCCGCGUGAGUGAAGAAGGUUUUCGGAUCGUAAAGCUCUGUUGUAAGAGAAGAACGGGUGUGAGAGUGGAAAGUUCACACUGUGACGGUAUCUUACCAGAAAGGGACGGCUAACUACGUG
This 505-nucleotide ribosomal RNA is filed under the name uncultured bacterium. RNAcentral describes it as "partial 16S ribosomal RNA". It matches the Rfam family "Bacterial small subunit ribosomal RNA", at positions 28 to 507 of the family's 1533-position model. The record is from RNAcentral.